AAACCAACAGGGAUUGCCUUAGUAACGGCGAGUGAAGCGGCAACAGCUCAAAUUUGAAAUCUGGCCCUUUUGGGGUCCGAGUUGUAAUUUGCAGAGGAUGCUUCGGCGUCGGCCCGGGCCUAAGUUCCCUGGAACGGGACGCCUUAGAGGGUGAGAGCCCCGUACGCGGCCUAGCGCCUUCGCCGCUAGAAGCUCCUUCGACGAGUCGAGUUGUUUGGGAAUGCAGCUCUAAAUGGGAGGUAAAUUUCUCCUAAAGCUAAAUACUGGCCAGAGACCGAUAGCGCACAAGUAGAGUGAUCGAAAGAUGAAAAGCACCUUGAAAAGGGAGUCAAAAAGCACGUGAAAUUGUUGAAAGGGAAGCGCUUGCGGUUAGACCCUUUUGCGGGUGCUCAUCCGGGCUUUUGCCCGGUGCACUCUCCCGCGAUCGGGCCAGCAUCGGUUCCGCGCGGCCGGAUAAAAGCUCCGGGAAUGUGGCUCCUCUCGGGGAGUGUUAUAGCCCGUUGUGUAAUGCGGCCAGCCGGGACCGAGGUCCGCGCUUCGGCAAGGAUGCUGGCGUAAUAGCUGCAAGCGGC
Molecule: ribosomal RNA, 572 nt
Filed under: Hysterographium minus
Lineage: Eukaryota; Fungi; Ascomycota; Dothideomycetes; Hysteriales; Hysteriaceae
Description: LSU rRNA
Rfam family: Eukaryotic large subunit ribosomal RNA
Source: RNAcentral